GAUGAACGCUGGCGGCGUGCCUAAUACAUGCAAGUCGAGCGAACGGACGAGAAGCUUGCUUCUCUGAUGUUAGCGGCGGACGGGUGAGUAACACGUGGAUAACCUACCUAUAAGGCUGGGAUAACUUCGGGAAACCGGAGCUAAUACCGGAUAAUAUUUUGAACCGCAUGGUUCAAAAGUGAAAGACGGUCUUGCUGUCACUUAUAGAUGGAUCCGCGCUGCAUUAGCUAGUUGGUAAGGUAACGGCUUACCAAGGCAACGAUGCAUAGCCGACCUGAGAGGGUGAUCGGCCACACUGGAACUGAGACACGGUCCAGACUCCUACGGGAGGCAGCAGUAGGGAAUCUUCCGCAAUGGGCGAAAGCCUGACGGAGCAACGCCGCGUGAGUGAUGAAGGUCUUCGGAUCGUAAAACUCUGUUAUUAGGGAAGAACAUAUGUGUAAGUAACUGUGCACAUCUUGACGGUACCUAAUCAGAAAGCCACGGCUAACUACGUGCCAGCAGCCGCGGUAAUACGUAGGUGGCAAGCGUUAUCCGGAAUUAUUGGGCGUAAAGCGCGCGUAGGCGGUUUUUUAAGUCUGAUGUGAAAGCCCACGGCUCAACCGUGGAGGGUCAUUGGAAACUGGAAAACUUGAGUGCAGAAGAGGAAAGUGGAAUUCCAUGUGUAGCGGUGAAAUGCGCAGAGAUAUGGAGGAACACCAGUGGCGAAGGCGACUUUCUGGUCUGUAACUGACGCUGAUGUGCGAAAGCGUGGGGAUCAAACAGGAUUAGAUACCCUGGUAGUCCACGCCGUAAACGAUGAGUGCUAAGUGUUAGGGGGUUUCCGCCCCUUAGUGCUGCAGCUAACGCAUUAAGCACUCCGCCUGGGGAGUACGACCGCAAGGUUGAAACUCAAAGGAAUUGACGGGGACCCGCACAAGCGGUGGAGCAUGUGGUUUAAUUCGAAGCAACGCGAAGAACCUUACCAAAUCUUGACAUCCUUUGACAACUCUAGAGAUAGAGCUUUCCCCUUCGGGGGACAAAGUGACAGGUGGUGCAUGGUUGUCGUCAGCUCGUGUCGUGAGAUGUUGGGUUAAGUCCCGCAACGAGCGCAACCCUUAAGCUUAGUUGCCAUCAUUAAGUUGGGCACUCUAAGUUGACUGCCGGUGACAAACCGGAGGAAGGUGGGGAUGACGUCAAAUCAUCAUGCCCCUUAUGAUUUGGGCUACACACGUGCUACAAUGGACAAUACAAAGGGCAGCGAAACCGUGAGGUCAAGCAAAUCCCAUAAAGUUGUUCUCAGUUCGGAUUGUAGUCUGCAACUCGACUACAUGAAGCUGGAAUCGCUAGUAAUCGUAGAUCAGCAUGCUACGGUGAAUACGUUCCCGGGUCU
Molecule: ribosomal RNA, 1372 nt
Filed under: uncultured bacterium
Lineage: Bacteria
Description: bacterial SSU rRNA
Rfam family: Bacterial small subunit ribosomal RNA
Source: RNAcentral